GAUGAACGCUGGCGGCGUGCUUAACACAUGCAAGUCGAACGGUGAACACGGAGCUUGCUCUGUGGGAUCAGUGGCGAACGGGUGAGUAACACGUGAGCAACCUGCCCCUGACUCUGGGAUAAGCGCUGGAAACGGCGUCUAAUACUGGAUAUGUGACGUGACCGCAUGGUCUGCGUUUGGAAAGAUUUUUCGGUUGGGGAUGGGCUCGCGGCCUAUCAGCUUGUUGGUGAGGUAAUGGCUCACCAAGGCGUCGACGGGUAGCCGGCCUGAGGGUGACCGGCCACACUGGGACUGAGACACGGCCCAGACUCCUACGGGAGGCAGCAGUGGGGAAUAUUGCACAAUGGGCGCAAGCCUGAUGCAGCAACGCCGCGUGAGGGAUGACGGCCUUCGGGUUGUAAACCUCUUUUAGCAGGGAAGAAGCGAAAGUGACGGUACCUGCAGAAAAAGCGCCGGCUAACUACGUG
This 467-nucleotide ribosomal RNA is filed under the name uncultured bacterium. RNAcentral describes it as "partial 16S ribosomal RNA". It matches the Rfam family "Bacterial small subunit ribosomal RNA", at positions 28 to 507 of the family's 1533-position model. The record is from RNAcentral.